GGGAAGGCAGACAGUGGGGGAAUAUUGGACAAUGGGCGAAAGCCUGAUCCAGCCAUGCCGCGUGUGUGAAGGAAGGUCUUCGGAUUGUAAAGCACUUUAAGGUUGGGAGGAAGGGCAGUUACCUAAUACGUGAUUGUCUUGACGUUACCGACAGAAUAAGCACCGGCUAACUCUGUGCCAGCAGCCGCGGUAAUACAGAGGGUGCAAGCGUUAAUCGGAAAUUACUGGGCGUAAAGCGCGCGUAGGUGGUUUGUUAAGUUGAAUGUGAAAUCCCCGGGCUCAACCUGGGAACUGCAU
This 297-nucleotide ribosomal RNA is filed under the name Pseudomonas sp. E11_ICE23. RNAcentral's name for it is "partial 16S ribosomal RNA". It matches the Rfam family "Bacterial small subunit ribosomal RNA", at positions 342 to 626 of the family's 1533-position model. The record is from RNAcentral. Lineage: Bacteria; Pseudomonadati; Pseudomonadota; Gammaproteobacteria; Pseudomonadales; Pseudomonadaceae.